Molecule: non-coding RNA, 29 nt
Filed under: Homo sapiens (human)
Lineage: Eukaryota; Metazoa; Chordata; Mammalia; Primates; Hominidae
Source: RNAcentral
UCCUCAUCCAGUAGGAUGUUUUGUGGCUU